This 412-nucleotide ribosomal RNA is filed under the name uncultured bacterium. RNAcentral describes it as "bacterial SSU rRNA". It matches the Rfam family "Bacterial small subunit ribosomal RNA", at positions 8 to 422 of the family's 1533-position model. The record is from RNAcentral.
AGAGUUUGAUCCUGGCUCAGAUUGAACGCUGGCGGCAUGCCUUACACAUGCAAGUCGAACGGCAGCACGGGGGCAACCCUGGUGGCGAGUGGCGAACGGGUGAGUAAUAUAUCGGAACGUGCCCUAGAGUGGGGGAUAACGUAGCGAAAGUUACGCUAAUACCGCAUACGAUCUACGGAUGAAAGCGGGGGAUCGCAAGACCUCGCGCUCAUGGAGCGGCCGAUAUCUGAUUAGCUAGUUGGUGAGGUAAAAGCUCACCAAGGCGACGAUCAGUAGCUGGUCUGAGAGGACGACCAGCCACACUGGGACUGAGACACGGCCCAGACUCCUACGGGAGGCAGCAGUGGGGAAUUUUGGACAAUGGGGGCAACCCUGAUCCAGCAAUGCCGCGUGAGUGAAGAAGGCCUUCGGG